AAGGUACCAUUAGGUGUUCACA
Molecule: microRNA, 22 nt
Filed under: Magallana gigas (Pacific oyster)
Lineage: Eukaryota; Metazoa; Mollusca; Bivalvia; Ostreida; Ostreidae
Description: Mgi-Mir-317-P2_5p* (star (passenger))
Source: RNAcentral